Molecule: non-coding RNA, 21 nt
Filed under: Caenorhabditis elegans
Lineage: Eukaryota; Metazoa; Nematoda; Chromadorea; Rhabditida; Rhabditidae
Source: RNAcentral
UUGCUUCAACACUACCGUAGU